This 394-nucleotide unclassified non-coding RNA is filed under the name soil metagenome. Its description in RNAcentral is "partial contains 5.8S ribosomal RNA, internal transcribed spacer 2, and large subunit ribosomal RNA". The stretch from base 1 to 120 matches the Rfam family "5.8S ribosomal RNA", at positions 35 to 154 of the family's 154-position model. The record is from RNAcentral.
GAUGAAGAACGCAGCGAAAUGCGAUAAGUAAUGUGAAUUGCAGAAUUCAGUGAAUCAUCGAAUCUUUGAACGCACCUUGCGCUCCUUGGUAUUCCGAGGAGCAUGCCUGUUUGAGUGUCAUGUUUUUCUCAGCUCCCUUGGACUUUUGGUCUGAGGUGAAGUCUGGAGUUGGGGGUUGCAGGUCUUGCAAAACAAGUCUGCUCCUCUGAAAUGCAUUAGCAUAAACUGUACUGAGAUGCUUAUUCAGUGUAAUAAUUUUCUGCACUGUUUGGGCUUUGGUAUAACACUGUUUAUGCUUACAGACAUCUCUCUAUUGAGAUAAGUUUCAUUUAAACUUUGUCCUCAAAUCAGGUAGGACUACCCGCUGAACUUAAGCAUAUCAAUAAGCGGAGGA